AGUUUAACUGGGGCGGUUGCCUCCCAAAAUGUAACGGAGGCGCCCAAAGGUUCCCUCAGCCUGGUUGGCAAUCAGGUGUUGAGUGUAAGUGCACAAGGGAGCUUGACUGUGAGACUGACAGGUCGAGCAGGGACGAAAGUCGGGACUAGUGAUCCGGCACUGGCUUGUGGAAGCGGUGUCGCUCAACGGAUAAAAGGUACCCCGGGGAUAACAGGCUGAUCUUCCCCAAGAGUCCAUAUCGACGGGAUGGUUUGGCACCUCGAUGUCGGCUCGUCGCAUCCUGGGGCUGGAGUAGGUCCCAAGGGUUGGGCUGUUCGCCCAUUAAAGCGGCACGCGAGCUGGGUUUAGAACGUCGUGAGACAGUUCGGUCUCUAUCCGCCGCGCGCGUAGAAACUUGAGGAAGGCUGUCCCUAGUACGAGAGGACCGGGACGGACGUACCUCUGGUGUGCCAGUUGUCCCGCCAGGGGCACGGCUGGUUAGCUACGUUCGGAAGUGAUAACCG
Molecule: ribosomal RNA, 503 nt
Filed under: Ochromonas sp. CCMP1393
Lineage: Eukaryota; Chrysophyceae; Chromulinales; Chromulinaceae
Description: partial Bacterial large subunit ribosomal RNA
Rfam family: Bacterial large subunit ribosomal RNA
Source: RNAcentral